This 327-nucleotide long non-coding RNA is filed under the name Vigna radiata. RNAcentral describes it as "long non-coding RNA (VRAD_LNC001976)". Lineage: Eukaryota; Viridiplantae; Streptophyta; Magnoliopsida; Fabales; Fabaceae. The record is from RNAcentral.
GGAUGGGUGACCUUCCGGGAAGUUUUCCCGGAAAGUGUGCGAGUGAGAACAAAGCACACUGGAAAGUCUCGUGGUGAUGUGUGGGGGCAGUCAACAGUCCCUGUAAGUUGCCGGGGCGUUACAAAUGGUAUCAGAACCUAGCCUCUUCCAGUACGGUGUGGUUCGAGGACGAACCAGACGGAAGCUGGUGGGCAUGUGACACCCGGGCACUGACGAGGACGGAGAGUGAUCGCCGAUGCAAGAGGCAUGGUGCAGGGGGCACAGACAAGGAGCGGCUCCUGGUAGGCUUUGAGUGGAAGGGGCACAUGGACGAAUCGAACAUACACC